Molecule: ribosomal RNA, 252 nt
Filed under: uncultured Erysipelotrichaceae bacterium
Lineage: Bacteria; Bacillati; Bacillota; Erysipelotrichia; Erysipelotrichales; Erysipelotrichaceae
Description: partial 16S ribosomal RNA
Rfam family: Bacterial small subunit ribosomal RNA
Source: RNAcentral
UACGUAGGUGGCGAGCGUUAUCCGGAAUUAUUGGGCGUAAAGGGUGCGCAGGCGGCAAGAAAAGCUUAAGGUGAAAGCGUGGGGCUCAACCCCAUAAAGCCUUAGGAACUAGCUUGCUAGAGUGCAGGAGAGGGCGAUGGAAUUCCAUGUGUAGCGGUAAAAUGCGUAGAUAUAUGGAGGAACACCAGUGGCGAAGGCGGUCGCCUGGCCUGUUGCUGACGCUGAGGCUCGAAAGCAUGGGUAGCGAACAGG